Candidatus Buchananbacteria bacterium is the source of this 121-nucleotide non-coding RNA. NCBI's taxonomy places the organism in Bacteria, Candidatus Buchananiibacteriota. The record is from Rfam.
CUCUAUAAUAAAAAUUUUCCACAGACAAUGGGUGUUUCGUAGUGGCGGAACUUAAAUAUCCCAUCGAGGAAAAAAUCUCUGUUUUAGUCUGUGGAAAAACCACAGUUUUUUAAUUAAAUUA